GCUGGGCGCGGUGGCGUGUGCCUGUAGUCCCAGCUACUUGGGAGGCUGAGGCUGGAGGAUCGCUUGAGUCCAGGAGUUCUGGGCUAUAGUGCGCUAUGCCAAUCAGGUGUCUGCACUAAGUUCAGCAUCGAUAUGGUGAUCUCCUGGGAGUAGGGGACCACCAGGUUGCCUAAGAAGGGGUGAACCGGCCCAGGUCAGAAACAGAGCAGGUCAAAAUCCCACGCUGAUCAGUAGUGGGAUGGCGCCUGUGAAUAGCCACUGCACUCCAGCCUAGGCAACAUAGUGAGACCCCAUCUCU
RNAcentral lists this signal recognition particle RNA (298 nucleotides) under Cebus imitator (Panamanian white-faced capuchin). Its description in RNAcentral is "Metazoan signal recognition particle RNA (ENSCCAG00000006323.1)". It matches the Rfam family "Metazoan signal recognition particle RNA". Rfam says of the family: The signal recognition particle (SRP) is a universally conserved ribonucleoprotein. It is involved in the co-translational targeting of proteins to membranes. Lineage: Eukaryota; Metazoa; Chordata; Mammalia; Primates; Cebidae. The record is from RNAcentral.